This 465-nucleotide ribosomal RNA is filed under the name Vreelandella stevensii. RNAcentral describes it as "partial 16S ribosomal RNA". It matches the Rfam family "Bacterial small subunit ribosomal RNA", at positions 338 to 795 of the family's 1533-position model. The record is from RNAcentral. Lineage: Bacteria; Pseudomonadati; Pseudomonadota; Gammaproteobacteria; Oceanospirillales; Halomonadaceae.
CCUACGGGGGGCUGCGGUGGGGAAUAUUGGACAAUGGGGGCAACCCUGAUCCAGUCAUGCCGCGUGUGUGAAGAAGGCCCUCGGGUUGUAAAGCACUUUCAGUGAGGAAGAACGCCUGGUGGUUAAUACCCAUCAGGAAAGACAUCACUCACAGAAGAAGCACCGGCUAACUCCGUGCCAGCAGCCGCGGUAAUACGGAGGGUGCGAGCGUUAAUCGGAAUUACUGGGCGUAAAGCGCGCGUAGGUGGCUUGAUAAGCCGGUUGUGAAAGCCCCGGGCUCAACCUGGGAACGGCAUCCGGAACUGUCAAGCUAGAGUGCAGGAGAGGAAGGUAGAAUUCCCGGUGUAGCGGUGAAAUGCGUAGAGAUCGGGAGGAAUACCAGUGGCGAAAGCGGCCUUCUGGACUGACACUGACACUGAGGUGCGAAAGCGUGGGUAGCAAACAGGAUUAGAUACCCUGGUAGUC